CGGGGGCAAGGCACACGGAGUCAGUGUUUUGGCAGUCAUUCACUCAUUGUACCUUGUAAACAUUGAGGUGCAGGAGACUUGUUGACAGACUGAACAGGACAGUGAACGAUCCAAGCCCUCAUCAUCCAUGCUCUGAGAUGGACAGUCAUACAUUGGGGGUGGCCGAGACAACCUGCUGCUGUGAAUGAACUUGAGAAAUAAGGCUGUGACCCAACAAACAUCCCCACCACGACUAACUCCCUCGCCCAUGGACGGGAAUCCUAACACUGGUGUUGUCCCAGAGACUCUGUACUAAAAAGAAGAUGGGGCCAGAGGCUCCUGUAUAUGGGGGACCUCUGUAUGUGUCUAGAGGCUAUAUUUCUGGCUCUGUUCAUUUGUUUUGAAUUUUCCCUCUCGUUUUUUGGUUUUGUCUCGUGGACUGUGAGUAGCCUGUCUGUUGACCCACAAGACAGGACAUGUAAGGCACAGUACUUACACCCUCCUCAAAAGAUUAGUCAACAACCCCCCCCAAACACACAGCACGCAUAUAUUAUUUAUUUACUUACAUGAGUAUGGAUGGGUCGAAGUUUGUUUGUGUAAAAGCAGACACCAUGAUAGUUUCAGUAACACAUUCGCUAGCAAACCAUUUAAAAUAAUCCAAUCCCUACCUCAGAAAGAGCAAGGCCGCAUACUGAGUAAUGUAUGUAUAUUUAGGUUGUAUUUAUUUUGGAAUGCUUCAUAAAGACCAACCCAAAGCCUUACGGUCUUUACUGUGGUUGUAUUUGUAAGGCACAACAAAGACAAUCUGAUUUAUUCUCCUGCUAUUAAAGUAUUUUCUUAAUUCUAAUUUCAUGCAAUAUGAUACUAUUUAAGAGCAUUUAUUACUAGUUCCAGUUAUGAGAUGAGAAAUAUUUUUUUAAGUACAUUCAUGUAGUAAGAAUGCAAAGAUGUUGGUCUGUGUACUUCCUAGUAGUAGUCGGAACCUAAACUAACCCAGGCAUUUACUGUAUUUGCAAUGCAUUACCCAUAAUCCCUAGCUGUAACCUGAUUACAUGAUAGAACAUCUCAAUGAUUUAGUUUUUGGGGUAGAACCACACGAUUUUGGGGUCAUUGGGAUUGCCGCAGUCACUGCUGGCGUAAGCAGGAGGAGUACAUAGUGCCAGGGUCCUGUUCAUUAGGCACCAAACGGAAGAAAAUGGACUGAAACAAGGGAAGACUACUUGGACAUAUACUGUAAAUGUUUGGUGCCCUAAUGAUUUACUACCCAGUUUUCACAACUCGUUAGAUUGUAACACACUAGAGACACAUCUGAAUGUAGUAGAAACGACCAUUGAAAAUUAAGUGGGAGGGGGAGACAUUUAUCAAACUGUAUUAUUUAAUAUGUACUACACUUAUGAAGUAUUUCCUCAAAGGCUUUUUUUGUGUAGAUUAUGUACAUAAGAGUUUAUCUGAAAUAGGAUUUCGAUUGUGAAGAUACAUUUAGUCAUGUUGCAAUGAAAUUACUAAACAAUGUAAAGAAAAUAUUUUUGAAAAUUAUGUUUUUGGAUUGUAAAAUGUAUGACUUUACCCCCUCACAUUUACUUGUGAAUAAGUCUAUAAUAUUUAAAAAGAGAAUUACCUUCAGUAUAUAUUUAGUUAUCUUUGCCUUGUUGACAACACUUUCACUAUUGAAUAUGCCAUAUGGGUAAACACAUUAACUUAGUGUAACCAAAUGUACACAUUGUGUUGAUUUAUAUUUUAAGUUUUUUAACAAAGGAAACUAUUUUGAUCUUUGUAUACCUUUCUACCUACUUUUUAUGCUUUUUUUUGUCACUGGAGACAUAUAGUGUAUAUAUAUAUAUAUAUAUAUUCAACAGUGCGCUCACUUUUAGUGUAUGUCUACUGUUUCUUACUCGAGAAGAUUGAAAUGUGAACUAUACUGAGAUGGCACAGAUUGAACAUGUCUUCAUAACUGAUUGAUGCUAAAGAGAUUUUUAAUUGUAUUAGUCACCAACUAACACUUUUUUGUUGUCUCAAAUGGCAUCCUAUUUCCUAUGUAGUGUACUACUUUUGACCAUGGCCCAAUAGGGCUCUGGUCAAAAGUAGUGCACUAUGUAGGAAAUAAGGUGGCAUUUGGGACUCAUGGACAAACUCAUGUAAUGGGUUGAAAUGAAAAGAGAACUCUCCUUCCCAUCAGGAUAUUCUAGGCGUCUGAGUAUUUCUGCCUCUUUCUGCUGCUUGAAAAAUUUAUCCUAUUUAGGAGGCCAUAGAAAACUAAUUCAGCAAAUAACUUCCUUCCUGGUUAGUGUCGGACUCAGGGCAUAAUUGGGCAGCCAGAGAGGGUCAAGAGGGUUCUCUCUCUCUCACUCACACCACAACACUCUCACAUCAAUAGGCCAACUGCUCCAGUUCUCAACCGUAGUGCACAGAGUACUCAGCUCUAUUGUCCCUGUGGAGGCUCUAUCCCUCCUAGGUACGCUUGAUGGGACAAAUAACACGCCACUGCGAAAAAAACCAUAACAGAGACCAUGUCCUCUCUCCAUUCAGAAGAUCCCUGCACAUUUGCAUCCCCAUAACUCCCAUCGGGAUAUUCUUGGGCUUUUUAGUAUCGUUGCCUUUUCCUGCUGCCUGGAAACAUUUUCCCCUUUUAGAAGGAGACCAUAGGAAGCUCAUGUUCAGCAAAUGACUUCCUUCCUGGUUAGUGUCGGACAGGGCUUAAUAAGGCAGCCAGAAAGGGUCUCUCUCUCACACAUACGUGCAGUACUAGAUGACUGGAGCUCAGAAGCCAGGCAGAUAUGAGUCUUAUGCAACGCCUGUCAUCAUAUCAAGUACAAAGUGUUCCAUACCCCCACUGAGCUACUGUUCUGUUCCAGUCUCACAGGCCCUGUUUAUGGACAUAUUUUUUUCAAACUACAGCAGGAAAGAAAGGAUGGAUAAGAAAAUAGAAGAAAGGGCGCCUUCAGUCUUCUUUGAGAGAGCUUGUUGUAUGACCGCUGGUGGAGUGUGUUGGGGAAAUAGUUUCAUCUGAUCAUUUUAUCAGCAUCUGGAGGAUAUGGGAAAACAUAAUUGUUUCACCGCUGCUGCAUAUAUACACACACAAAAAUUAUAACCAAAUCCUUUCUCGGUCUCAUUCUCUUUUGCUCUCACACCUACGCACCCAGCUGAGAGGAACACUGAAACACAAAUAGAACCCCCACAACCCCAGCUGCCUUGGUUUUCUUUUGACCCUGGGGCUCGACCGGAGGUUCAACCACACGACCGAAUGUGGUCAAAAAGCACUGACCUCCACAAAAGGACCACACCACGACCUCAGAGUGACAGUGACAUUUGGCCCAUCAAAUUAAGCUUCCUUCAAGGGUCCUUCAAAUUCUCUCCAUCUCCCAACAUCUGGUCGUGUUAACUUCACUGCUAAAUCAGAGUUUUCCAAACAGUUCCAGAGCAUUAAAGAAUACACAUCCACCAUCUUCCAUCUGCCUUUUCAGGCUUUCAAUUUACUCUUGAAAGUUGCAAUAAAUAGAAUGCACAGGGUGCAUUUUCAAAAUUGGGAAGUCCAUGAGGAGUUUUCCUCUUGUCAUGUUGGUCAUGGCAGACCUUAGAGAUUAUUUAUUAAUGUCCAGAUCAACUGCCCACUGGGCACAGAUGUCAGUUCAAUGUCUAUUUUUGAUUUAAUUUGUUAACUAACGUGAAUUUAAUGUGAAAUCAACAAAAAAUGACACAAUGACAUUGGAUUUAGGUUCAAAGUUGGGUGAAAAAAAUAUGAAAUUCCCAAACUCCCAAGUGGCGCAGCGGUCUAAGGCACUGCAUCUCAGUGCUUAGAGGAGUCAUUUUGGUAAAUUUCUUCAACAGAUGAUCAAGUCUAUAUAAUUAUCAAACAUAUAUUAGUAAUGGAAAGUAAACACAGACUCUAAGUAUUAAAAAUCUCCUUUAGUAAUACAAUUGUAGGCAGAAGUUGGUACAGAGUACAGUAUAUGAUAGCUCUCCCCAGGUUCUGCAAAAUGUCUAAGACAUCCUGUAACAUAUAGCCUCCCCAGUCCUCCUUGUGUGACUUUCCCUGGCAACAAAUUAUUAUUUUUUCUCCUUA
Oncorhynchus tshawytscha (Chinook salmon) is the source of this 4039-nucleotide long non-coding RNA. NCBI's taxonomy places the organism in Eukaryota, Metazoa, Chordata, Actinopteri, Salmoniformes, Salmonidae. The record is from Ensembl.